Long non-coding RNA from Nilaparvata lugens (brown planthopper), 256 nucleotides. RefSeq lists it as uncharacterized. The record is from RefSeq and is a predicted model, not a curated record. The transcript has 2 exons. Lineage: Eukaryota; Metazoa; Arthropoda; Insecta; Hemiptera; Delphacidae.
GCCAGGGUUCACGGGUUACACCUGCUAAUGGACAAUUAUUUGCUCUUUAAAUAUGAGUGCUCUACAGUAAGAUUGUAAACUUUAAUUAUAUGUGUCUGUUUUUGCAGUGACUCAAUGUGGAUUGUGAAGACACAGAAGGGGACGCAUUUGGAUCUUGAAUCAUGAAUGUUGAAUCUUGAUGCUCACAGAAAAGGAAGUCAACCAGACAGGCUCUGAAAAUUGAUGAAAUGGAACAAAUUAUUUGGACAAGACACUA